UCCUGGUUAACCCAGGCAGUCUCAUUAGAGUUCCCACCUUAAGUGUUGGCAACUAAUGAUAAGGGUUGCGCUCGUUGCUGGACUUAACCAAACACCUCACGGCACGAGCUGACGACAGCCAUGCAGCACCUAUAUAACAGCUCUUGCGAGAAAUAUCAUCUCUGAUAUCGUCCAUUACAUUUCGAGCCUGGGUAAGGUUCUUCGCGUUGCGUCGAAUUAAACCACAUGCUCCACCGCUUGUGCGGGCCCCCGUCAAUUCCUUUGAGUUUCAGCCUUGCGGCCGUACUCCCCAGGCGGGGUACUUACUGCGUUAGCGACGGCACCGAAGGGGUCGCUCCCCCCGACGCCUAGUACCCAUCGUUUACGGCGUGGACUAC
RNAcentral lists this unclassified non-coding RNA (377 nucleotides) under uncultured bacterium. RNAcentral describes it as "contains 16S-23S intergenic spacer region". The record is from RNAcentral.